This 314-nucleotide ribosomal RNA is filed under the name Glomus sp. 7 FW-2016. RNAcentral describes it as "SSU rRNA". It matches the Rfam family "Eukaryotic small subunit ribosomal RNA", at positions 569 to 889 of the family's 1831-position model. Lineage: Eukaryota; Fungi; Glomeromycota; Glomeromycetes; Glomerales; Glomeraceae. The record is from RNAcentral.
AGCAGCCGCGGUAAUUCCAGCUCCAAUAGCGUAUAUUAAAGUUGUUGCAGUUAAAAAGCUCGUAGUUGAAUUUCGGGGUUAGUAGGCUGGUCAUGCCACCGGUAUGUACUGGUCUUACUGAUUCCUCCUUCCUGAUGAACUGUAAUGCCAUUAAUUUGGUGUUGCAGGGAAUCUGGACUGUUACUUUGAAAAAUUAGAGUGUUUAAAGCAGGCUAACGCUUGAAUACAUUAGCAUGGAAUAAUGAAAUAGGACGUUCGAUCCUAUUUUGUGGUUUCUAGGAUUGACGUAAUGAUUAAUAGGGAUAGUUGGGGGC